RNAcentral lists this ribosomal RNA (996 nucleotides) under Rhytisma cf. punctatum Lantz et al. 414 (UPS). RNAcentral describes it as "eukaryotic LSU rRNA". It matches the Rfam family "Eukaryotic large subunit ribosomal RNA", at positions 69 to 1081 of the family's 3401-position model. Lineage: Eukaryota; Fungi; Ascomycota; Leotiomycetes; Rhytismatales; Rhytismataceae. The record is from RNAcentral.
CAGGGAUUGCCUCAGUAACGGCGAGUGAAGCGGCAACAGCUCAAAUUUGAAAGCUGGCUUCUUUGGAGCCCGCGUUGUAAUUUGUAGAGGAUGCCUCGGGCACGGCGCCGGUCUAAGUUCUUUGGAACAGGACGUCAUGGAGGGUGAGAAUCCCGUAUGUGACUGGUGGCUUGUGCCUGUGUGAGGCUCCUUCGACGAGUCGAGUUGUUUGGGAAUGCAGCUCAAAAUGGGAGGUGUAUUUCUUCUAAAGCUAAAUACUGGCCAGAGACCGAUAGCGCACAAGUAGAGUGAUCGAAAGAUGAAAAGCACUUUGGAAAGAGGGUUAAACAGUACGUGAAAUUGUUGAAAGGGAAGCGCUUGCAAUCAGACUUGCACGGUGCCGAUCAUCCUGGGCUUGUCCCUGGUGUACUCGGUGCCGCCGCAGGCCAGCAUCAGUUUUGGUGGUGGGAUAAAGGCCUGGGGAACGUGGGUGGCUUCGGCCUCCGUUAUAGCCCCAGACGUCAUGCCGCCUGCCGGGACUGAGGAACGCGCUUCGGCGAGGAUGCUGGCGUAAUGGUUGCAAGCGACCCGUCUUGAAACACGGACCAAGGAGUCGAACAGCGGUGCGAGUGUUUGGGUGUCAAAACCCAUACGCGCAAUGAAAGUGAACGGAGGUGAGAGCCCUUCAGGGUGCAUCAUCGACCGGUCCUGAUGUCUUCGGAUGGAUCUGAGUAAGAGCAUUGCUGUUCGGACCCGAAAGAUGGUGAACUAUGCCUGAAUAGGGUGAAGCCAGGGGAAACCCUGGUGGAGGCUCGCAGCGGUUCUGACGUGCAAAUCGAUCGUCAAAUUUGGGUAUAGGGGCGAAAGACUAAUCGAACCAUCUAGUAGCUGGUUCACGCCGAAGUUUCCCUCAGGAUAGCAGUGUUGUAUUCAGUUUUAUGAGGUAAAGCGAAUGAUUAGAGGACUGGGGGUCGCAACGACCUUCACCUAUUCUCAAACUUUAAAUAUGUAAGAAGU